This 438-nucleotide RNase P RNA is filed under the name Halostagnicola larsenii XH-48. RNAcentral's name for it is "Archaeal RNase P". It matches the Rfam family "Archaeal RNase P". From Rfam's summary of the family: Ribonuclease P (RNase P) is a ubiquitous endoribonuclease, found in archaea, bacteria and eukarya as well as chloroplasts and mitochondria. Its best characterised activity is the generation of mature 5'-ends of tRNAs by cleaving the 5'-leader elements of precursor-tRNAs. The record is from Rfam by way of RNAcentral. Lineage: Archaea; Methanobacteriati; Methanobacteriota; Halobacteria; Halobacteriales; Natrialbaceae.
GGGAGAGAGAGCCUGGCCGCCGCGGCGGCCGACUCGGCGACGAAUCGGCUGUCCAACGCGACCUAUCCCUCGAGGAUCGGUCGCGCCCGCGAGGAAAGUCCCCCCACCGUUCGGGCGGGUGACCGGAUGCAAAUCCGGAGCGGGAGACCGCUGGCUCUGGAACAGAAACGACACGUCUCGGCCCGACCGAUGAUGCGUGCGAACCCGACCGAGAGGAAGGGGAGCGAACCCGCAGAGGGUUAGACAGCUGUCAGAUGCGAUUCGAAAUCGCGGGUCGCUCGAUGCGACCGGCUGUCGACGGCCGAGGAUCGAUGGAACGGCGAAUCCUCACCGGUGCAAGUUCGCGCCGCAGGUAGCCCGAACAUACCGCGAUAGCGGGCGGCGCGAGCGCUCAGCCGAAUGCCGGGAUGAACAGAAGGGGGCUUAUUCCUCUCACCC